GUUAAACAAGUGCUUGAAGGCAGUAUGCUUGGUAAAAGUCAUCGCCAUUCUCUAAUCUUGAGUACCCAGGGACACGAUACACUGCGGAAGGCUGCAGGGACCUCUGCCCAGGAAAGCCAGGCUUGCAUGAAGGAAAUGAUUUCCUAUGAUUCUGCUUACUGCUUAAAAAAAUUAAUCAAGUUUUCUGCCUGACAAGAUCCAGUAUCUGCCGGAGGAGCCCCACCUUCUGCUACUAUUAUGUUCUUCAGAUGAGUAGAAGAGAGUGGGGAGGGAGAGAGCAGGAAGAAGAAAGGAAGAAUAAUGUCUUGAAAUUGUUUUCUAAGGAUAAUGGUCUCCAGCUUCGUCAAUGUUCCUGCAAAGGACAUGAUGCUGACUUUGAAGAUGCAAGCUUCCACAUCUACAGCCUCAAGGAAACAAAUUCAGCCAACCAACUGAGGGAGCUUUCCUUGUCCUGCCUCAAGAUGAGAUCACAGUCUGCCCAACACCAUGAUUUAGGCCUUGUGACACCUGGUAUGGAAGACCCAGUUAAGUUCUCUCCAAACUCUUGACCCACAGAACCUGUGAGAAAAUAUAUGGAUAUUAUUUUAAACUGCUAAAUUUGUAGUAAUUUGUUAUGCAGCAAUAAAAAAAACUAAUGCAAGGAGAUAUCAAUUAUUGUAAAAAGCUUAGCUUUUGUUUUAAAAUAUAGUUCACCAGUAGUAAGUUACUAAUAAGUAACUAAACAAAUAAAAGCAAGCCAUUUACAAAUCAAUAAUAAGAGUAAGUCAUGAACUAAAGAUUGUAAUUAAUCAAUUUCUGUACGCCUGUAAUGAAAAUAAAGGAGGAAAAGAAAAAAAAAAAAAAAAAAAAAAAAAAAAAA
RNAcentral lists this long non-coding RNA (859 nucleotides) under Homo sapiens (human). RNAcentral describes it as "HIF1A stabilizing long noncoding RNA (HISLA)". Lineage: Eukaryota; Metazoa; Chordata; Mammalia; Primates; Hominidae. The record is from RNAcentral.